CAGCAGCAGCCGCGGUAAUACGAAGGGGGCUAGCGUUGUUCGGAAUUACUGGGCGUAAAGCGCACGUAGGCGGAUAUUUAAGUCAGGGGUGAAAUCCCAGAGCUCAACUCUGGAACUGCCUUUGAUACUGGGUAUCUUGAGUAUGGAAGAGGUGAGUGGAAUUCCGAGUGUAGAGGUGAAAUUCGUAGAUAUUCGGAGGAACACCAGUGGCGAAGGCGGCUCACUGGUCCAUUACUGACGCUGAGGUGCGAAAGCGUGGGGAGCAAACAGGAUUAGAUACCCCCGUAGUCCCUGUCUCUUAUAC
This 304-nucleotide ribosomal RNA is filed under the name uncultured bacterium. RNAcentral describes it as "partial 16S ribosomal RNA". It matches the Rfam family "Bacterial small subunit ribosomal RNA", at positions 506 to 807 of the family's 1533-position model. The record is from RNAcentral.